RNAcentral lists this ribosomal RNA (497 nucleotides) under uncultured bacterium. RNAcentral describes it as "partial 16S ribosomal RNA". It matches the Rfam family "Bacterial small subunit ribosomal RNA", at positions 28 to 507 of the family's 1533-position model. The record is from RNAcentral.
GAUGAACGCUGGCGGCGUGCCUAAUACAUGCAAGUCGAGCGAACAGACGAGGCGCUUGCUCCUCUGACGUUAGCGGCGGACGGGUGAGUAACACGUGGAUAACCUACCUAUAAGACUGUGAUAACUUCGGGAAACCGGAGCUCAUACCGGAUAAUAUAUUGAACCGCAUGGUUCAAUAGUGAAAGCCGGUUUUGCUGUCACUUAUAGAUGGAUCCGCGCCGGAUUAGCUAGUUGGUAAGGUAAAGGCUUACCAAGGCAACGAUGCGUAGCCGACCUGAGAGGGUGAUCAGCCACACUGGAACUGAGACACGGUCCAGACUCCUACGGGAGGCAGCAGUAGGGAAUCUUCCGCAAUGGGCGAAAGCCUGACGGAGCAACGCCGCGUGAGGGAUGAAGGUCUUCGGAUCGUAAAACUCUGUUAUUAGGGAAGAACAAAUGUGUAAGUAACUAUGCACGUAUUGACGGUACCUAAUCAGAAAGCCACGGCUAACUACGUG